Molecule: ribosomal RNA, 518 nt
Filed under: uncultured fungus
Lineage: Eukaryota; Fungi
Description: SSU rRNA
Rfam family: Eukaryotic small subunit ribosomal RNA
Source: RNAcentral
UUUUKGGUUCCGGGGGGAGUAUUGUCGCAAGGCUGAAACUUAAAGGAAUUGACGGAAGGGCACCACCAGGAGUGGGACUGCGGCUUAAUUUGACUCAACACGGGAAACUCACCAGGUCCAGACACAAUAAGGAUUGACAGAUUGAGAGCUCUUUCUUGAUUUUGUGGGUGGUGGUGCAUGGCCGUUCUUAGUUGGUGGAGUGAUUUGUCUGCUUAAUUGCGAUAACGAACGAGACCUUAACCUACUAAAUAGCUCGAUCAGCUUUGGCUGAUUAUUAGCUUCUUAGAGGGACUAUCGUUUUCAAGACGAUGGAAGUUUGAGGCAAUAACAGGUCUGUGAUGCCCUUAGACGUUCUGGGCCGCACGCGCGCUACACUGACGGAGCCAACGAGUACAUAACCUUGGCCGAGAGGCUUGGGUAAUCUUGUUAAACUCCGUCGUGCUGGGGAUAGAGCAWUGCAAUUAUUGCUCUUCAACGAGGAAUUCCCAGCAUGCCGCGGUGAAUACGUUCCCGGGCCU